AGCAUCACCACAAGUGUUGUCACAAGGAGAAGACGGACUCCAUGGUCCCCAGCCACCUUCCCUCACCAGAGGACGCACAUAGUUGGGGUUGACAGUCUUCACCCACGGCACGCACGCUCCGUUGAAACACAUCUGCAGCCCUUGGAGCUGGUGUCAGACAAGAAGUGAAGACAGGGGAUCACAUGAUUACAAGAUGGAUAGGUUCCGUCAUGCGUCAGACCAAUGCUGCGCAGGAUGUUUACAGGUAACGACAUCAAAGUUUAGUACUCACCGGGGACUCCCGCCAGAUCUCCAGGUGCACGACUUUGAUGGUCAUGUUCCAGCCCACCACCGAGGGAUUCGACAGCAAAGCGUACAUCUGUUGACAGCAG
Pomacea canaliculata is the source of this 371-nucleotide long non-coding RNA. RefSeq lists it as uncharacterized. The record is from RefSeq and is a predicted model, not a curated record. The transcript has 4 exons. NCBI's taxonomy places the organism in Eukaryota, Metazoa, Mollusca, Gastropoda, Architaenioglossa, Ampullariidae.